Molecule: ribosomal RNA, 253 nt
Filed under: uncultured bacterium
Lineage: Bacteria
Description: partial 16S ribosomal RNA
Rfam family: Bacterial small subunit ribosomal RNA
Source: RNAcentral
UACAGAGGUCUCAAGCGUUGUUCGGAUUCAUUGGGCGUAAAGGGUGCGUAGGCGGCGCGGUAAGUCGGGUGUGAAAUCUCGGAGCUUAACUCCGAAACUGCAUUCGAUACUGCCGUGCUUGAGGACUGGAGAGGAGACUGGAAUUUACGGUGUAGCGGUGAAAUGCGUAGAUAUCGUAAGGAAGACCAGUGGCGAAGGCGGGACUCUGGACAGUUCCUGACGCUGAGGCGCGAAGGUCAGGGGAGCAAACGGG